UACGAGUGCCCCGAGCGUUAUCCGGAAUCAUUGGGCGUAAAGGGUGUGUAGGUGGUUUUGUUAGUCUUCUGUCAAAUUCUUCGGCUUAACCGGGGGUCCGCAGGGGAAACGGCAAAACUAGAGGAUGCGAGGGGUGAAUGGAACUCAUAGUGGAGGGGUGAAAUCCGUUGAUAUUAUGGGGAACACCAAAAGCGAAGGCAAUUCACUGGCGCACUUCCUGACACUGAAACACGAAAGCGUGGGUAGCGAAUGGG
Molecule: ribosomal RNA, 254 nt
Filed under: uncultured bacterium
Lineage: Bacteria
Description: partial 16S ribosomal RNA
Rfam family: Bacterial small subunit ribosomal RNA
Source: RNAcentral